Molecule: ribosomal RNA, 359 nt
Filed under: uncultured bacterium
Lineage: Bacteria
Description: partial 16S ribosomal RNA
Rfam family: Bacterial small subunit ribosomal RNA
Source: RNAcentral
CCUACGGGAGGCAGCAGUGAGGAAUAUUGGUCAAUGGCCGUAAGGCUGAACCAGCCAAGUAGCGUGAGGGAAGACUGCCCUAUGUGUUGUAAACCUCUUUUAUGCGGGGAUAAAGGUGUCCACGUGUGGAUGUUUGCAGGUACCGCAUGAAUAAGGACCGGCUAAUUCCGUGCCAGCAGCCGCGGUAAUACGGAAGGUCCGGGCGUUAUCCGGAUUUAUUGGGUUUAAGGGGAGCGUAGGCCGGUCUUUAAGCGUGCCGUGAAAUUUUGUGGCUCAACCCUGAGAGUGCGGCGAGAACUGGAGACCUGGAGUGUGAGGAAGGCAGGCGGAAUGCGGGGUGUAGCGGUGAAAUGCGUAGA